Molecule: ribosomal RNA, 253 nt
Filed under: uncultured bacterium
Lineage: Bacteria
Description: partial 16S ribosomal RNA
Rfam family: Bacterial small subunit ribosomal RNA
Source: RNAcentral
AACGUAGGACGCAAACGUUAUCCGGAAUUACUGGGCGUAAAGAGCGUGUAGGCGGGGCGAUAAGUUGUCCGUGAAAGCGCCUGGCUAAACUGGGCGAGGUCGGAUAAGACUGUCGGUCUGGAGGGCGUUAAAGGGAUGCGGAAUUCCGGGUGUAGUGGUGAAAUGCGUAGAGAUCCGGAGGAACACCAGAGGCGAAGGCGGCAUCCUGGGACGCACCUGACGCUGAGACGCGAAAGCAUGGGGAGCGAACGGG